UAAUUUUCUGUUAUUUAUAUGCAGCCUCUCAUGGAUAACCUUGAGGCUCAAACCUACGAGACAUUUGAGAAAGAUGCAAUGAAAUACAUUCAGUACCAAAGGGCAAUUUGUAAAGCUUUGCAAGAUAGAGUUCCUGAAGAAAAAGCAUCAACACUAACCAUUGUAUUGAUGGUUGUAGGAGCAGGGUGAGGACCUCUUGUGA
Molecule: long non-coding RNA, 202 nt
Organism: Carya illinoinensis
Lineage: Eukaryota; Viridiplantae; Streptophyta; Magnoliopsida; Fagales; Juglandaceae
Exons: 3
Source: RefSeq, a predicted model, not a curated record